UACGGAGGAUGCGAGCGUUAUCCGGAUUUAUUGGGUUUAAAGGGUGCGUAGGCGGAUUUUUAAGUCAGCGGUAAAAUGUCCGGGCUCAACCCGGGCCGGCCGUUGAAACUGGGGAUCUUGAGUGGGCGAGAAGUACGCGGAAUGCGUGGUGUAGCGGUGAAAUGCAUAGAUAUCACGCAGAACUCCGAUUGCGAAGGCAGCAUACCGGCGCCCGACUGACGCUGAGGCACGAAAGCGUGGGGAUCGAACAGG
RNAcentral lists this ribosomal RNA (252 nucleotides) under uncultured bacterium. Its description in RNAcentral is "partial 16S ribosomal RNA". It matches the Rfam family "Bacterial small subunit ribosomal RNA", at positions 524 to 776 of the family's 1533-position model. The record is from RNAcentral.